Long non-coding RNA from Oncorhynchus keta (chum salmon), 698 nucleotides. RefSeq lists it as uncharacterized. NCBI's taxonomy places the organism in Eukaryota, Metazoa, Chordata, Actinopteri, Salmoniformes, Salmonidae. The transcript is spliced from 3 exons. The record is from RefSeq and is a predicted model, not a curated record.
CCUUCAGAAUACCUCUGAUGGCAGUAACUUUACAAGCACUAAUUAUGGUCACUUUAGACUGAGAAUAGUAUCUAGUUAUGGUAAGGGGUGAAAUAAGUAGAGCCAGUUAUAAUUGUAACGGUUUAGCAGAUAUAAAUAAGAUCAGGCUAAAAGAAAAGGAAUAUAACAUAUACUGUUUACAGGAAACUCACUCUACGUCCUUAGACGAACGGGGUAAUACUUUUCUGUCUUGGACAAAAGAACUCAAAAGGUGUGAUGAUAUUUAUUAACAGAAAUGUCAAUCUGAAUGUGCAAAUAAUCAGGAAUGAUUCACAAGGAAGGUGGAUAUUUUUUAAUAUGAAAGUGGACGAAAAAGAGAUUUGUCUCAUUAAUCUAUAUGGUCCAAAUCAGGAUGAUACAUACUUCUUCGAAAACAUUUAUGCCAAUUUAUUGAACUAACAGGCAACAAAUGAUCAAAUCAUUAUGGAGACCGUAACACAUUGUUAAGUACCUCAAUGGACCGUAAAGGUAAUCACUCUACAAACUAUCAUCACCCUGCCCUUAAGGUAAUCACUCUACAAACUAUCAUCACCCUGCCCUUAAGGAAAUCACUCUACAAACUAUCAUCACCCUUAAGGUAAUCACUCUACAAACUACCAUCACCCUUAAGGUAAUCACUCUACAAACUAUCAUCACCCUUAAGGAAAUCACUCUACAAA